This is a non-coding RNA of Cinara cedri, 211 nucleotides long. NCBI's taxonomy places the organism in Eukaryota, Metazoa, Arthropoda, Insecta, Hemiptera, Aphididae. The record is from the annotation of a GenBank genome assembly.
CAUGUAAGUGCUUUUAUUUAAAAAAUGGCGCCGAAAAUCAAAAAAUGAUCUCUUCAAAGUACCAUCUAAACUUGAGCUCUCAGAAAAGGUGCUACACUUAUACAUCGGAGCAAAUUUAAAAAAUAAACAACAUUGUAAAACCAAUAGCUUCCUCGCUACGCUCGGAAUCUAAAAAAUACUAACAAAUAAAAAGAACCAUGUUCGACAUUUU